Long non-coding RNA from Sander lucioperca (pikeperch), 93 nucleotides. RefSeq lists it as uncharacterized. The record is from RefSeq and is a predicted model, not a curated record. The transcript is spliced from 3 exons. NCBI's taxonomy places the organism in Eukaryota, Metazoa, Chordata, Actinopteri, Perciformes, Percidae.
CUGACUCGUUUUAAAAUGAGAACCCUGUAAAAGGGGUCUUAAAAAAGCACUUGGUGGCUACAUACAUCAUAGUAUGGUAAAAGACGGACGCUA